UAAGAAGGGUGCAAGAGUUAAUCGGAAUUACUGGGCGUAAAGCGCGCGUAGGUGGUUUGUUAAGUUGGAUGUGAAAGCCCCGGGCUCAACCUGGGAACUGCAUCCAAAACUGGCAAGCUAGAGUAUGGCAGAGGGUGGUGGAAUUUCCUGUGUAGCGGUGACAGGCGGAGAUAUAGGAAGGAACACCAGUGGCGAAGGCGACCACCUGGGCUAAUACGGAAACGGAGGUGAGAAAGCGGGGGGAGCACACAGGCUGCGAUCACACCGGAGUCC
RNAcentral lists this ribosomal RNA (273 nucleotides) under uncultured bacterium. RNAcentral's name for it is "partial 16S ribosomal RNA". It matches the Rfam family "Bacterial small subunit ribosomal RNA", at positions 524 to 796 of the family's 1533-position model. The record is from RNAcentral.